RNA transcript from Dermacentor silvarum, 673 nucleotides. RefSeq lists it as uncharacterized. The transcript has 4 exons. The record is from RefSeq and is a predicted model, not a curated record. Lineage: Eukaryota; Metazoa; Arthropoda; Arachnida; Ixodida; Ixodidae.
GAAAAACCUUCAGGCUCCGCCUCUGCCACGUGCCGGCCGGUGUCAAAAGCUGAUAUUGAGGCUUCCCCUUAUAAUAAAGCCGUCCACGCUAGCUUUUUCAGUGGCCGGUCUUCGAAAGCUUCGCCUCGUCUACCUGAACGAACCAGACAAAACUCACCAUGAAGGCAAUUCAACUCAUCCUGUGCUUUGGUGUUCUUGCCGCAGCAUAGAACCACAAGCAAAGGAACAGGUUCUACAAGAAGCCGAGAAAGAAAACUACCUCCGAAGGGCAGCGAUCGACAGCUGGCUCGAAAAUAACCAGGAAUCAGAGCCAGCCGUUCUACGCCAACGCCUCGAGAAUCUAUUUGGUGAGGUUGUUGCAAGAAAAGAAAAAUUCACAGUCAACGAAGAAGACGUGGGCGAUGUCAACGGCGACGUCAGCGAGUAUGGUCUCGGAAAGAAGCUGAAGAAGUGGAAGAACAAAGUGAAGAAGGUUCUGGGCGACGCCGCUAAGGCAGUUAUUGUCAACAAGGUGGUCGGUUCUUUAGGCUAAGAGAUGGAGAUCCUGGUUCUUCAUCGAAAGUGGAUGAUUCUAUCCAGUGCCUUUUUUUUAUAACAAUCUGGUGGAGGGCUGGAAACGUUUCAAAAAAUAAACAGCGUUGUUAGCACUACACCACUUUAUUUCUCUUGCAGA